AGUCGACGGACUUUUCAUGAAGCCUAGCGAUUGAAAAGUUAGUGGCGGACGGGUGAGUAACGCGUGGGUAACCUGCCUUGUACUGGGGGACAACAGUUGGAAACGACUGCUAAUACCGCAUAAGCGCACAGCUUCGCAUGAAGCAGUGUGAAAAACUCCGGUGGUACAAGAUGGACCCGCGUCUGAUUAGCUGGUUGGUGAGGUAACGGCCCACCAAGGCGACGAUCAGUAGCCGGCCUGAGAGGGUGAACGGCCACAUUGGGACUGAGACACGGCCCAAACUCCUACGGGAGGCAGCAGUGGGGAAUAUUGCACAAUGGGGGAAACCCUGAUGCAGCAACGCCGCGUGAGUGAAGAAGUAUUUCGGUAUGUAAAGCUCUAUCAGCAGGAAAGAAAAUGACGGUACCUGACUAAGAAGCCCCGGCUAACUACGUGCCAGCAGCCGCGGUAAUACGUAGGGGGCAAGCGUUAUCCGGAUUUACUGGGUGUAAAGGGAGCGUAGACGGUUUUGCAAGUCUGAAGUGAAAGCCCGGGGCUUAACCCCGGGACUGCUUUGGAAACU
This 562-nucleotide ribosomal RNA is filed under the name uncultured bacterium. Its description in RNAcentral is "bacterial SSU rRNA". It matches the Rfam family "Bacterial small subunit ribosomal RNA", at positions 60 to 634 of the family's 1533-position model. The record is from RNAcentral.